AGGUAGUUAUACGACUGACGGAAGUGGAAUCAACCACAUGAAGUAUAAUCAUUUAAAGAGCCGACCGUCUGGGCUGAUAGA
This 81-nucleotide non-coding RNA is filed under the name Eggerthia catenaformis. Its description in RNAcentral is "ZTP sequence". It matches the Rfam family "ZMP/ZTP riboswitch aptamer (pfl RNA motif)". From Rfam's summary of the family: Previously known as pfl RNA. ZMP is also known as AICAR. RNAcentral also lists the same sequence under 1 other name. The record is from RNAcentral. Lineage: Bacteria; Bacillati; Bacillota; Erysipelotrichia; Erysipelotrichales; Coprobacillaceae.